Long non-coding RNA from Grus americana (Whooping crane), 2186 nucleotides. RefSeq lists it as uncharacterized. Lineage: Eukaryota; Metazoa; Chordata; Aves; Gruiformes; Gruidae. The record is from RefSeq and is a predicted model, not a curated record. The transcript is spliced from 5 exons.
CGGAGACGGAUGAAGUGACAUGACUAAGGUCACCCAAGGCCCGCGUCGGAGAAUGGAGCUGAACCCGGGGCUCUCCCAGCAGGGGCUGAGCAUUACAGCGUAGGCUCGGGGCGUCGUACGAGGAGGAUUUCACGGUUGAAAAAGGGCCCAGUCUAAGUCCUGCCCUACCUCUGAAGCCAGUGAGAACAGCAGGUCACCAGAAGACAUCUUCUAAUAUUUCCCCUUCCCAGGGCAUCUCUGCAGCUUCCCGGGAAAGGCACGACAUGCCCACAGCUGGACCAGAUGUGCAGCUGAUUCCUUCAUUUGCCUUUGGAUUCCCACUCUCACGUUGAGUGGGUCAGACCAUCAUGGUCAGUGGUGAAUGAGGGAGGUGACCGUGGACAGUGGCAGAGUGGCAUGGCCAGAGCACUGCCACCAGCACAGCAACAACCACAAACUUUAAGGCUGUUCCUCAGAGGGUACUUCGGGCUGCUGAGAUUCAACACGUUCAAAGAGGAUCCAGGGACCAGGGCAGAUGCCUAAGUACACAGUCCCAUAAAGAACCUCUUCUGGGAAAUUCCAAACUGCGCUUGAGUCAAAAGCACAGGAGAUGAUCUUGCUUCAAACACUACUAGAAGAAAGUCUCUUUGGCCAAAAUUUCUCUAGCUGUUUUUCUGCACUCCGGUCUGUGCCAUCUGCUGCGUGCCUGUGAUACGGUGCCGAGGACCGGGGAAGGAGCGAUGCAGAGCGGAGGUCGCAAGCCGCCAGCCUUUUCCUGCCCCCCUGCCAGCUGCGGGAAUCAGGACGGCACCUUUGUCCCAGCGCGAGGUGGCCGAGGAUCACCGUCCCCGCAGCGCUCCCUACUCUGGUGUGCCGGCAUAGGUCGAGUCUGCCCCAUAGGUUUUAAGCCUAAUUCUAGCUGGAGGUGAUGAGACUUCUGCCCCUGCCAGAGGUGGGGAUUGGAUGCUGUUGGUGUUACCCACAGUCUGAGGGGACAGCUGAUUCAGCCACCACGGCUUCCCAGUGCUCCUGGCGUCAGAUUUGCAGAACCCCUCGGACCAUCCUCACCAACUCUAACAAGCUUCAAGAAGUGCUUCCAAGUCAGCAUUUGGGGGACAGGGAGAGAAAGCACGACCGCCUCCGCCCAGGCGUUAAAGGGGAGUAAUGAAAUUGUCUGCUGCUGCCAGAUAAGUGGAGAGGAUACCUCGGAGAGUCACUUUGGAUCUCCAGCCACAGUAAUACGUUGUUAUGAAUCUCUAUCAGUGCACUUGUAGUGCAGCUGGAGAGUAUGUCUGACAUUGCCUCCAGUGACCUUUUCAAUAUAGUCCAAGUGCUGCAGAGCUGGUGUUUCAAGAGGAAUUCAAAUCGAAUUUACUCAGGCAGAAGGGAUUGGCCUGAGGAUAGCCCUACCGCUGGCUUCGCAUUUCUCCUUGUCAUUCUCAUGGAAAUUGCAAUUCUUUAUGCAUGGUGCUUCUUCCUGCACCGCUGCAAAUGUCUCCCCUUUACGCAACAGGAACAGCCACCGUGCUUUUAACGGCGGGUCCGCGGUGGGCUGGCAGUGACGGCGUGGUGUUGCACGCCGCGGCUGAAGGGUGUUUGCAGGUGGUGCCGGCGGCAGCAGAAGUGGGAGGAUGAAGGUGUGAACUUGAACGCAACCUGUCGUAAGGUCGCAAUGUGGCCGCGUGCGCUGGCACCCCAAAUUAGCUGCUGCAUGUCAAGCACCCGCCAUCAUGUGAAAAGAUGCAGCUCACGGCCGCGGGAGGUGAAUCACUGUAAUUUGUAGAAGCUGGUAGAGAAAGGCACGGGAGAGAAAUUCAUUCCGGGCUCUGCAAAGCCAGAGCAGCCGAGGAGCAGCGUCUCGGCGUGUAACGCUAAUGUCUCUGGGCUGAGGUCUCUGCCCUCCUGGAGGCAAAGUGCCUGCGUUUGGGGGAAAUGCUGGUUUUAUGUGCUUUCCUGGCGCGGUAUGAUUAUUUCAUACGUGUUUGUAUGAGGUGCUUUAAAAUGUAAUUUCUUUGAUUAAUUUGGUGUCUGUAUUUUCACUGUUUUGUUCGCUCCAAUUUAUGACAAAAUUGAACAAAGUGGGUAAUAAAAUAUAGCCCUGUCAGGCUCCUGUCUUCACGGAUAUAAAGAAAAAUGUGAAACUGUCAGGCACACAAAUGUGCCAAACCCCAAGGAAAAUUAUUACAUUCUGCUUGACAUUUACUUUA